This 2592-nucleotide unclassified non-coding RNA is filed under the name Leishmania donovani. RNAcentral describes it as "gene:LdHU3.14.1700(CDS-product:NADP_oxidoreductas e_coenzyme_F420-dependent_putative)". Lineage: Eukaryota; Euglenozoa; Kinetoplastea; Trypanosomatida; Trypanosomatidae. The record is from RNAcentral.
AAAAAAAGGGCUCCCGCCUUGCACUCGGGGCGUGCCUGCGCUGCCCGCCUGCACCCAUUUCUUUUCUGGCCACUGUGCGUUCUGCACCGCGUCACCCAUGUACACAGACUGCGCACUGCUGCUCAACACGGUGCUCAGUGAAAGUGGCUGUACGGACGCGUCGUUGCAGGACACAGCCGAGACGGUUCCUCUUGUCUACCGCACACUAGCAGAGCACAGCUACUGCCUCCUGUACGUUGUCUCCGUUGCCAAGGCCCUCCUGCACGAGGACGACGCGGCGUUCGCCCAUCUGGCACGUGCGCAGGCGCAGCGACAGAAGACAGCUGCAGAGACCUUGUCGACACCGGCGCCGCCUGUGCCGUUUGCUUUCCCUUCUCCUAUCCCACCCCUUGCGCCAUCCGACAGCCUCGACAUGCACCUCACCAUCAUCGGCGGGGGUACGUGCUGUGAACUGAUGCUGCGGCUGAUAUGUGGCCAUGGCUGUGCUGGCGGCGGCCGUGGCGCUGGGAUCUUUUGCGGCACGACUACUCGAGACCCGCUCGUGCAUCCAUCGCACAUCACCGUCAUCACACGGCAACCAGAGCGACUGGCGCGCUACGCGGAUCUGGGGGUGCAUUGCCUUGCCCGUCAUCACGGUCGACAGGCAGUGGAGCGCAGCGACGUGGUGGUGCUGACCUGCCCUCCAGCGCAACUACAGGAGGUGGCGCGAGAUCUCUUUACCUCCGCGUCGAUGGAGACUGCCACGAGCGCGGGGCCCUCUCAAAACAAGGUCGCAGCGACCGCGUCGUCGCCAUCGCUGCCGUCGUCAGGUGCUGCGACGCCCUUGCUGCGGUCGAAUGCGGUGUUGCUGUUCUGCAUGGCCGGCGUUCCGGUGCGCAAGGUAGCACAGGCGUUUCAGCACUCCUCGCUCGAUCUGAUCUUUACGCCGUCACUCCACACUCUCAGCACGCACUUCCCGUGCGCCGCACCGUCGAAUGAUGGCGACGAGCCGUCUACCACCGCCUGUUGCUCUGUGUAUUCACCAACGAAGGGGCCGCCUCUGCCGGCGCAAAUACCGAAGACCUCGCAGGAGUGCGACAAGUCCCUUGAAGAGCAUUCCAUUGAAGAGGCAGGGCAGUGCUUUACGGCCGCCAUGGCCGCGUACCGCAGUGCUCGACUUUUCGAGAUGCACUCCUCAACAUCGUUUCUGCGUCCUGCAGUGCUGCAGCAAGCCGCAAAGAGCGCUGCUACUGGGGCGGCAGCGGCGCGCGAGGCCACCUGCUCGCGGGUACCGCCGCUGCCUGGCGGCACGUCCUAUCCGGCUGCCGCCGCGCCACCCCGACUCACCGACUUCACCGCUGGACGACACCCUUCCACGUGUCCCACCCUGGCAGAAUACCUGGAUCUCUGGCGCGUGGUGAAGGCGUACGUGAAGGCGACCUUUGCAGAGGAGGCGCUGAAGCUUGCUCGUGCGCGCGGCAGCGCUGGUGGUGGCUCCCGGCGACGUCGCGGAAACGUGGGGACAGGUGACAGCUGCGGCGGUCUUGUGAGUGUUGUGCUGCCAGACACGACAUCGAAGCGCCACUGCAAGUCAGAACCUGGUGAAGUCGAGGCUGAGCUGUUGCCAGCCCUGAUACUCCUACCAGCUGCGCAGACGAAGGUAUUAUGGGACGCGUGGUGGGGCAACAGCGGGCGCGGCGGCCUUCUAAGCAGGAGCGACGCCGCGCCUCCACUGCCGCCUUCCGUGACAGACGUGACAGGUAUGUGGUUGUGUCGCGUCUACACGAGCGCGGCUUCCCUCAAGGCCAGCCUUGACGACCAGUUCCGUCACCUUCUCGGUGCUUGCACGCGGUGAUGCCGCCGCCCUGAUGAGGCGGCCUGCAUGAUCGGCGGUUUGACGUAUCGUGGCAUGAUCGUGCCACACCACCGAAUGGCCUUGCUGCUGCGGGGAAAGCGUUGUGUGCGCCCGAAGGCGGAUGCCCCGCAGCCUUCACCGCCUCCAUAUCGCUCUCCGACUCUUCCUCCGCCCUCUGCCAUUUUCUUUGACGAGCUCCUCGGCGUUUUGUUUCGUUAUGCUUCCUCAUGUUUGAUGUACACAACCUGUGGCGCACUCACGCUUGCACGGCGCCGCUUCCUUCUUCUUGUCUUCAUGUUCGCGCUCGUGGCCCUCCUCGCCGUUUUCGUUGCCCUCAUCUCGCUGUGAGCCGUCCGGAGUGGCGGUGUCUGAGAGAGGCACACAUCGUCAUGUCUGGCGGUUGUGGCCCGCCGAUGAUCGCCGCUGCGACUUGCCCUCUCUUUCCCGCACUCCUCUCGAGCGGGGUUGAGGACAAACUCAAUGCAUUUGAUUUUUCACUCAUGACGCGUGCUCACAUGUUCCUGUGCACUGGGCUUCCCGCUUCCGGUCGUCCUCCUCGACGCUCCGGGCGGGGGGGGGAGCACAGCCCCAGUGUUUUGGCGUUCACCUUGCCAGUAGCGUUUCGGCGCGCAUGCGGCACCCUACUGUCCCUAGGCGCACGCGUCUGCCGCUUAUCGCACCCUCUUCCCCCACCACCACCACCUAAUGCUCUGACGACCACUCAAACAAAUGCCCCCCUCUCCCCUCCCUCACGCAAG